This 253-nucleotide unclassified non-coding RNA is filed under the name uncultured Elusimicrobia bacterium. RNAcentral describes it as "contains 16S-23S intergenic spacer region". It matches the Rfam family "Bacterial small subunit ribosomal RNA", at positions 524 to 776 of the family's 1533-position model. Lineage: Bacteria; Pseudomonadati; Elusimicrobiota; Elusimicrobia. The record is from RNAcentral.
UACGAAGGUGGCAAGCGUUACUCGGAAUUACUAGGCGUAAAGGGCAGGUAGGUGGUCUGAUUAGUCUGUUGUGGAAGCUCCCGGCUUAACUGGGAGAGGUCAACGGAUACUGUCAGGCUUGAGUAUAGGAGAGGGUACUGGAAAUCCCGGUGUAGCGGUGAAAUGCGCAGAUAUCGGGAGGAACACCAAUGGCGAAAGCAGGUGCCUGGACUAUUACUGACACUCAGCUGCGAAAGCUAGGGGAGCAAACAGG